RNAcentral lists this ribosomal RNA (253 nucleotides) under uncultured bacterium. Its description in RNAcentral is "partial 16S ribosomal RNA". It matches the Rfam family "Archaeal small subunit ribosomal RNA", at positions 474 to 727 of the family's 1478-position model. The record is from RNAcentral.
UACCAGCACCCCGAGUGGUCGGGACGUUUAUUGGGCCUAAAGCAUCCGUAGCCGGUUCUACAAGUCUUCCGUUAAAUCCACCUGCUCAACAGAUGGGCUGCGGAAGAUACUAUGGAGCUAGGAGGCGGGAGAGGCAAGCGGUACUCGAUGGGUAGGGGUAAAAUCCGUUGAUCCGUUGAAGACCACCAGUGGCGAAGGCGGCUUGCCAGAACGCGCUCGACGGUGAGGGAUGAAAGCUGGGGGAGCAAACCGG